CCUACGGGAGGCAGCAGUGAGGAAUAUUGGUCAAUGGGCGCGAGCCUGAACCAGCCAAGUCGCGUGAAGGAUGACGGUCCUAUGGAUUGUAAACCUCUUUUGUCGGGGAACAAAGUCGGGGACGUGUCCCGUCCCGUAUGGUCCCCAUGGAUAAAGCAUCGGCUAACUCCGGGCCGGCGGCCGCGUUAAUACGGAGGAUCCGGGCGUUAUCCGGAUUUAUUGGGUUUAAAGGGUGCGUAGGCGGGCUUUUAAGUCAGCGGUAAAAAUUUGGGGCCCAAACCCGGCCGGCCGUUGAACCUGGGGGCCUUGAGUGGGCGAGAGGUAGGCGGAAUGCGUGGUGUAGCGGUGAAAUGCAUAGAUAUCACGCAGAACCCCGAUUGCGAAGGCAGUGUGCCGGAGCACGACUGACGCUGAGGCACGAAAGUGCGGGGAUCGAACAGGAUUAGAUACCCGAGUAGUC
This 460-nucleotide ribosomal RNA is filed under the name uncultured bacterium. Its description in RNAcentral is "partial 16S ribosomal RNA". It matches the Rfam family "Bacterial small subunit ribosomal RNA", at positions 338 to 795 of the family's 1533-position model. The record is from RNAcentral.